AUCACUUCUCGGCCUUUUGGCUAUAUCAAGUGUAGUAUUUGUUCUUAUCAGUUCAAAAUAAGGGUCAAAGAAGACUUUACUGAGAAAAACAUUUUAAUAAGGUCUUAAAGAUGAAACUAAGUAAAACUAGCACAAGUUGUAGUCCUACAUAUAUCAGAUUCAUUAGCAGCAAUGUGGUGAACUAAUU
This 187-nucleotide small nuclear RNA is filed under the name Moschus moschiferus (Siberian musk deer). RNAcentral describes it as "U2 spliceosomal RNA (ENSMMSG00000013475.1)". It matches the Rfam family "U2 spliceosomal RNA". From Rfam's summary of the family: U2 is a small nuclear RNA (snRNA) component of the spliceosome (involved in pre-mRNA splicing). Complementary binding between U2 snRNA (in an area lying towards the 5' end but 3' to hairpin I) and the branchpoint sequence (BPS) of the intron results the bulging out of an unpaired adenosine, on the BPS, which initiates a nucleophilic attack at the intronic 5' splice site, thus starting the first of two transesterification reactions that mediate splicing. The record is from Rfam by way of RNAcentral. Lineage: Eukaryota; Metazoa; Chordata; Mammalia; Artiodactyla; Moschidae.